GGUGGCUCAGUGGUAGAGCGCUUGAAUUGCAUGCAUGAGGCCCUGGGUUCGAUUCCUCAGCACCA
Non-coding RNA from Dipodomys ordii (Ord's kangaroo rat), 65 nucleotides. The record is from Rfam. NCBI's taxonomy places the organism in Eukaryota, Metazoa, Chordata, Mammalia, Rodentia, Heteromyidae.